UUGAACGCUGGCGGCAUGCCUUACACAUGCAAGUCGAACGGUAACAGGCCGCAAGGUGCUGACGAGUGGCGAACGGGUGAGUAAUGUAUCGGAACGUGCCCAGUCGUGGGGGAUAACUACUCGAAAGAGUGGCUAAUACCGCAUACGACCUGAGGGUGAAAGCGGGGGACCGUAAGGCCUCGCGCGAUUGGAGCGGCCGAUAUCAGAUUAGGUAGUUGGUGGGGUAAAGGCUCACCAAGCCAACGGUCUGUAGCUGGUCUGAGAGGACGACCAGCCACACUGGGACUGAGACACGGCCCAGACUCCUACGGGAGGCAGCAGUGGGGAAUUUUGGACAAUGGGCGCAAGCCUGAUCCAGCCAUGCCGCGUGCGGGAAGAAGGCCUUCGGGUUGUAAACCGCUUUUGUCAGGGAAGAAACGGGCGUUUUUAAUAAAGAUGCCUAAUGACGGUACCUGAAGAAUAAGCACCGGCUAACUACGU
RNAcentral lists this ribosomal RNA (480 nucleotides) under uncultured bacterium. Its description in RNAcentral is "bacterial SSU rRNA". It matches the Rfam family "Bacterial small subunit ribosomal RNA", at positions 30 to 506 of the family's 1533-position model. The record is from RNAcentral.